Molecule: non-coding RNA, 111 nt
Filed under: Erwinia amylovora
Lineage: Bacteria; Pseudomonadati; Pseudomonadota; Gammaproteobacteria; Enterobacterales; Erwiniaceae
Source: RNAcentral
AGGAUUUGAAAUCUUCCCACUGAUUUUGAAUUAACAGACUUACCCCCCCUGAGUUAACUAAAGAAUUGCUGUGUGUAGUCUUUGCCCAUCCCCUGUGAUGGGCUUUUUUUU